Molecule: long non-coding RNA, 3414 nt
Organism: Drosophila simulans
Lineage: Eukaryota; Metazoa; Arthropoda; Insecta; Diptera; Drosophilidae
Exons: 2
Source: RefSeq, a predicted model, not a curated record
UCAAGCAGCGUUUUGCCAGCGCUCAGCAGGUAAUAAGCGUGAAAUUAUUCACACACAUAUAGCGCCGUGCUUGGUAGAGAAAAUCUGCGGUAGUACCCGACUGGCCUGGUACCUCAGUACCCAGUGCCCAGUAACCAGCCCCCCAGCCACCUAUCCCCCACCCAGUGCACUCGAUUAGGAAUGGGAAAACAAACUUCGGCUGCUCUUCGUUGAUAUCGGGGCUUCCAGCGCUCGGAUAAGGAAGUAUCCGCCGAGAAGCUGAAGACAUCCGCACCGAAUGUGCCCGAAAAUGUGGUCUACACUCGAAGAAAAAAAGCUGCAAGAUGGUACAAAGUGUUGUCAUAAAACGAGUAAAUAAGUCAUUGGGUAAAUGUUUUCCAUUUGUGAAUUAUCUCCCAACGUUCCAUUCAAAUUACCCAAUGAGAUAAGCUGGGAAUUCCAAGUUACUUGAAGAGCUGCCGCUGAUAAAUUUAUGAAGUGAUCUUUUCUCUGGGUGUAGGUGGGUAAGGAAACCCCGAACGUGAGCUUUUUGCUGAUUAACUCACGAAGAUCGGUGAUGGGAUUGAGAGCAGAUACGGCGAUGGGGGAUACCUGGAUCUUAUCAACCCAAAUCCAACGUAGGCGGGAUCCACUGUACGACGCUGUGAGGGAAACACUUGGGACUUCGAUAAAAACCGGCAGGCCGAAAUGGUCAGCAGUAGUAAAUAACUUCAGAUAGACGGACUCGCAGACCCAGACACAGUAAAAGCACUUUAUGAACUUAUCCGAACCGGCCGUGAGUGGACACUUUCCACGCUGAUUAGGAGAAAUCACCCCGAAAUGACCAAUCAAUUGAAAAGGAAACGAAAACAGAACCGCAGACAAAACCAAUUAGGAGUCGAUUAAUCGCUGGGGCAAUUCAUCUUUGGCCACCAACUCUGACGCAGAGUUCUCCUCCUCCUCCGCUCCGGCUCCAAGUUCGAUAUCGCAAUCGUUUUAUAUCCAAGACAUCGUCGUGCAGCCGACGAGUCAGACGAUCCAAUAGUCCAAUAAUGCGGCAAUCAAGGCUUCCUUUGAUCGAUUGCAUUGAAUCACGGGAAUUGGAUUGGAUAUCGACAUUAUUGGGGGGAUCGCAAAACCAUAUCGAGCUAGCAGGAUGAUGACUUCAACUUCCUUAUCGCGGCCAUCAUCACGUCAAUCCAGCUUUUCGGAUAAGAGCCCGUGACACGGGUAAGUACAUAAAUUAUAAAAUUAGUUGGCACGUUUAGCCGGGCGGGUCCAUAAAAGUGGCGAUAUCACUUCCUAGGAUAACGAUCCAGCUGAAAGAAAAGGUCCCGACUAACAAACAUCAUCAACACGGUUUUGUUCCUUUUCAAUAAUAUUUUAUUUUAAUGUACUUGCAUUAUAUUUAGUUAAUAACUAGAUUUGUAAAUUAUUCUCACUUGAAUGCGUCUAUAAAUUAAAUCUUAUUCGUAACUCACGUCUCUCAGCAUUACUAGAUAAGAAAAAAAAUAGAAGUACCACACACAUACGAUGAUCUUUGAGGGAGGACUCUUCACUUCACCUUCACGUCUCUUCUCUUCCCGCUAACGACUAAGAUUAGUUUCAAUAUGUGCUCUACAUCAUGUCUGUCGUGUUUGCAUUAUCUCUAUGUCUGUAAAUCAGUUAUCAGUUAAUCAGUUUAUCAACAAUUGUACAAGUGACAAAUCUACAAUGAAUUCGAUAAAGCACCGAGCACGUUGACAACUCUGGCGCAUGCAAAUUGAAAUCUCCUACUCCCUCAUCGAGAUGAAUGCCUUAUUUAAAAGUAAGCAAUAAUAUGUAUUUAGUUUUCCAUAGGCUAAAAUGUAGUUCUCUUCCGACCGAAUCGAAUUUCCAAAGGCAUUAAACGACAUUAAAAACGAGGAUCCAUUAAACGAAUUUGCACUACAGUGUGGAGGGCAGCGGCCACUCCAAAAGUUGUUUUAGUUUAGGAUAACAAUUAGAAUGAAGUUGCUUUAAUUAUCAAGAAGGAUCUAAAAACAAAUAGCAAAAAAAGAGGUAAUCAUAAUAAUAAUAAUAAUAAUAAUGGUUUAAUGAUAGCGUUAACUAUAAUAAUUGUAGGCUACCGUUGAAGAAGAAAAACACUCCAAGUCUUUCAAGUUGACCAAAUAGAUGAAUAUUGUGUGGAUCAUCACUUGUACAUUACAUUAUCUAAGUAAUUUAAUUAUGACGAUGACGACAUGAGAACGAUGAAGACGACUAUUAAGCUGAAUUGUGAUUGAACCUGAAAACUCUUUGUUUUUUGAAACGAUUUAUAAAUGUUUAUAGUAAUUCCGUUGCUGCCGAUCAAUGUAAAUGUAAAUGUAAAAUACAAUUGAAAUAAAACUCUAUUUUUCAUACACAACAAAAUAAAUAUGAUUAACAUGGUUGGUUUCUUUGAUGGUUUAUUAGUGUGUUAUUUUGUUAUUGUGUUAUUAUCGAUGUGUUGUUGAUGUUGUUGUUGUGGCUGCCCUACACUUAGAACAAUUCUAGCUAAAAUUGCUGCUAGGCUAGACACCCAGAAUUGGUAGCUUAAGCGAUAAGUUUGCAACAAUUCGCUUGCUUCUUUUUCCUCUUGCAUAUACAAAAGAAGUUUGAAAGAAAGGCAUUUAGAGGUUUUCACUCCUUCUUUUCAAUAGGCUAGUUUUGGUAGCAACAAUCAUUGUUUCUCAUUUGUUUUUUGCAUUUCUUUGUCUGUCAAAAUGGAUUUUAUAUACAAUGGGUUUGUUUGGGGGAAAAAGUAUCCAUUUCUGUUUUUGCUUUUUUUUUUUUACUGUGUUUGUUGUUUUGCUUGUUAUGUUUGUUAUGUUUAAUGUUGGUUUGUUGUCUAACAAUGGCACACACGCAUAUAUAAUUAUUAAGAAUUCGCAUUUAAAUGGUUUCUUUUUCUUUGUUAGGCAUUCUGUGGCUUUAGUGCGGGUGUGAGUUGGGUUGGGUUGGGAAUUUAGAAUACGUUUUUUGAAUACAGUUCGAAUACAAAUCAACAAAAAAUGUAUAAUGCAUGUAAAUGUAUGAACUCGUCGAUUAGAUAUUAUCAGUUGUUUAAAAAGGCCUAAUAUAAUAUUUACAGAUCUCAGCACAAAUAGCAGCAUAAAACUAAAAUUUUGUCAGGUUUAUCUCUAAUCCCUAUCCAGAGUUUCUGAGGUUUUGUAUAUCUGUAUAUAUCUGAUGAACGCUCGAUAUUUUAGUUGGGUCUAUUUAGUGUGUUGUUUGUUUUUUCGCCUCUCGUUAUCGUUAUAAAAUCUAUGUACAUUAUUUAGUAAUGCCUACUUAUAAACUGAGUAUGGUAAUAUCUGCAGCUCCAGUCCGAUCCGUUGCAUGCCCGCCCGCCCAUGUGUUGCCAUGUGGUCACAAAACGCAUAACCCAGCUGAUCCCUAACUUUCCCCCAUUUUGGUAUCCAAUUCUGGACAGUC